This is a long non-coding RNA of Gordionus sp. m RMFG-2023, 1019 nucleotides long. RefSeq lists it as uncharacterized. NCBI's taxonomy places the organism in Eukaryota, Metazoa, Nematomorpha, Gordioida, Chordodea, Parachordodidae. The transcript is spliced from 4 exons. The record is from RefSeq and is a predicted model, not a curated record.
UAAAUCAAGAAACCUACAAUAGUAUUAUAUAUCAAGAUUAAAAAGUAUGUUAAAAUUAUACUCAAAUAUGUUUCUAAGACCAAGAUUUUUCAGGGUCUCGGAGAGGGCGACAUCGUAUCUUGUCUCGAAAACUGGAAGAGUAAUAUCUACCAAGGUGUUUUCGACCAUCUUCAUCAGGGAAGAGAGUGAUUCGCUGGAUAAGACCUUGAUCAAAUUUGAUAAUCCAUUUUUCUCGGGGAGCACAAAAAACAUAGCCAAAUUGGGAUUGGCAUAUUGCAUUCGGAGAACUUGGAUCUCUUGAUCUGGAACAGAAGUUGGCAGGUCUCCUAUCAUCUUCAUCUUAGUGCUACCGUAUCGAGCAUUCUUGUGGCCAAACAUCAUUUUAACAUUUUCGACUAUUCCAUCGUCCCUCGUAAAGGCCUGUAAAGUGGUUAACCUAAUAUUUAAUGACACACAAACACAAUGAAUGGCCCCAUUACCUUUGUCUAUAUCAAAACACAACACCCCUUCAAAUAAAAUAAAUCCAACUCAUCUAUGUCUAUUGUUCUGAACUAUGAGCAGAGUCCAGCCAAGAUCCGAUGCAAGACGAUUCAAUAACUUAACGAUAUUGAGAAAAAUCUUUUCAAUGAGAUCAAUCUUCCUUUAUCAAAAUCAAUGAUUACUACGUAAAAUUGAUCUCGUAAACAGAUGUUUUUUAAAAAAUGGAUCAGCUGUUAAAUCGUGUCCGAUUGGAUUCCCACUUUAAAUCUAGCCUUAAUCGGAUACAUGUAUGGGAGAUGUGGGUGUUAUCGAAGUAUAUUUUAAAGCGUUGCCUAGGGGCUCAAUAAACGAAGUUCUUAGCAGCCAUUCUCAUUUCGGUGCAAUAAAUUUGAUCAUCCUAUGUCAGGCAGAAUAGAUGGGUUCUCAGUAUUUCAUCUUAGAUUCUCGAAAUGGGAACUCGCACCAAAGGAACAAUGGAAAUAGUUGCGAAAUUUCAAAUAAAAAAGCUAUUGUUUACAUUUAACCGUUAUGAUUAUUAA